CACAAAUAGUACAAUCCAAAAUAUAUAUUAUAUAAACAAUUAAUUAUCUAAACAUUGUACUAAAAUUGUCAUCCGAAGAUAAUGAAAAUGCCAAGUACAAUAGUUCUAUCUAGAAUAAAAAUAGAACAAAAAUAAAAAAUAUAUAUAUAAUCACAAUGUGAUCUUUUGAAAUUCUUCAAGCCACUCAGCAAAUGUAGAAUCAAUCCUUAUUAUUUCUCAGCCUCUGCUGCUUGUGGUAAAGCUUCCUCAACCUUCACCUUCCCAUGAACAAAAUCUAAGAGCAUGAAAAACAUCAAUGCGAUUUUUUUUUUUAAGAAAGAAUGAACUACACAUAUAUAUUCUUGUGGACUAUAUUUCACAUGAUUGUAAGCAUCUAUAAACAGCCACCAGUUAUUUUGAACAAUAUGCCUUCUUAGUUUCAUACAGCCAGAGCAUACUAUAAAGAGGAAGGAAUACCUUAGAACAAAUAUUGUUACGACAACUUCCUCUGGUUUCUGAUAGAAUUCAUGCAUGUGAAACAUACAUAACCAGAACUGAGAAGAGCUAAAAAUGAGAUUUUGCUCAUUAAUGUAUAAAAUUAUGAAAAGUUGUGCAAUAUCUUUGCAAGCCAAAUAAAAUAGAACUAAGAAUUCGACUACUGAAUCUGAUAGAAGAAAUGAUUCAUCGUAUAUAUGUUUUGUGGAAGAAUGGUAAGAGUGAUUAUGUUCCUAAGAAACAUGGAACAUAAUAAAGGAUCUCAAAUAGUUAGUCACAAAGUCAAAACAACUAGCUAUGGCACAAAAAUUAACCAAUAGAGAUAAACUGCUUUGAACUUCAGCAAAUCACAGUCAAGAUGAUGAAAACAAGCUAUUAGAUGGCACUUUGUUUGUUCUCAGUUAGUGGAAACACAACUGAACUGGAAACACAACACAUACCCAAAUAUAUGAUGUUUAAUAAGCUAAUGAGCAACUUAUUAGCAAUGAAUCUACCACUCAUACUGACCUGUAAGCCUAGUAGUUGAUGCUGUUUUUUCUUGGCUGGACAACUCCACUGCAGGUGGUAAUUUCUGUACCACGUAAAUAGAAUGAAGACGUCAUCUCAUUAGUGAAUAGGCAAAGAAAUAUGAAGGAUAUAAUUUCUCUAUAGACAACGUUAAAUUGAUUAGUGAAGAAUCCAAAACAUGUCUUGACCAUCAAAUGCAAUAAAUAUUCAAUUAAUAAUUUCAUAAUACAGUUUAUAUCCUGACUCGGCUAAAAAACCUAGAUCUGAGCAUUAUAUCUGCUUGGACUGUAAAUUGGCAUGACUGUUAACACAAGAUUAUGACUGUCCUUUUCUCAUGAUUGUAAAUUCAGGUAUUUCUACCUGAAUGAUGAAUGAUAGCUUAGGUUCAAAGCGUG
RNAcentral lists this long non-coding RNA (1376 nucleotides) under Salvia miltiorrhiza (redroot sage). Its description in RNAcentral is "long non-coding RNA (SMIL_LNC000758)". Lineage: Eukaryota; Viridiplantae; Streptophyta; Magnoliopsida; Lamiales; Lamiaceae. The record is from RNAcentral.